This 465-nucleotide ribosomal RNA is filed under the name uncultured bacterium. RNAcentral's name for it is "partial 16S ribosomal RNA". It matches the Rfam family "Bacterial small subunit ribosomal RNA", at positions 28 to 507 of the family's 1533-position model. The record is from RNAcentral.
GACGAACGCUGGCGGCGUGCUUAACACAUGCAAGUCGAACGGAAAGGCCCCUUUGGGGGUACUCGAGUGGCGAACGGGUGAGUAACACGUGAGUAACCUGCCCUUGACUUCGGGAUAACUUCAGGAAACUGGGGCUAAUACCGGAUAGGAAUCCUUGCUGCAUGGUGGGGGUUGGAAAGCUUCGGCGGUUUUGGAUGGACUCGCGGCUUAUCAGCUUGUUGGUGGGGUAGUGGCUUACCAAGGCUUUGACGGGUAGCCGGCCUGAGAGGGCGACCGGCCACAUUGGGACUGAGAUACGGCCCAGACUCCUACGGGAGGCAGCAGUGGGGAAGAUUGCACAAUGGGCGGAAGCCUGAUGCAGCAACGCCGCGUGCGGGAUGACGGCCUUCGGGUUGUAAAACGCUUUCAGCAGGGGCGAAGCUUGUGGUGACGGUACCUGCAGAAGAAGCACCGGCUAACUACGUG